Molecule: ribosomal RNA, 1459 nt
Filed under: uncultured bacterium
Lineage: Bacteria
Description: 16S ribosomal RNA
Rfam family: Bacterial small subunit ribosomal RNA
Source: RNAcentral
GAUUCUGGCUCAGGAUGAACGCUGGCGGCGUGCCUAACACAUGCAAGUCGAGCGAUUUACUUCGGUAAAGAGCGGCGGACGGGUGAGUAACGCGUGGGUAACCUGCCCUGUACACACGGAUAACAUACCGAAAGGUAUGCUAAUACGAGAUAAAAUACUUUUAUCGCAUGGUAGAAGUAUCAAAGCUUUUGCGGUACAGGAUGGACCCGCGUCUGAUUAGCUAGUUGGUAAGGUAACGGCUUACCAAGGCGACGAUCAGUAGCCGACCUGAGAGGGUGAUCGGCCACAUUGGAACUGAGACACGGUCCAAACUCCUACGGGAGGCAGCAGUGGGGAAUAUUGCACAAUGGGCGAAAGCCUGAUGCAGCAACGCCGCGUGAGCGAUGAAGGCCUUCGGGUCGUAAAGCUCUGUCCUCAAGGAAGAUAAUGACGGUACUUGAGGAGGAAGCCCCGGCUAACUACGUGCCAGCAGCCGCGGUAAUACGUAGGGGGCUAGCGUUAUCCGGAAUUACUGGGCGUAAAGGGUGCGUAGGUGGUUUCUUAAGUCAGAGGUGAAAGGCUACGGCUCAACCGUAGUAAGCCUUUGAAACUGGGGAACUUGAGUGCAGGAGAGGAGAGUGGAAUUCCUAGUGUAGCGGUGAAAUGCGUAGAUAUUAGGAGGAACACCAGUUGCGAAGGCGGCUCUCUGGACUGUAACUGACACUGAGGCACGAAAGCGUGGGGAGCAAACAGGAUUAGAUACCCUGGUAGUCCACGCCGUAAACGAUGAGUACUAGCUGUCGGAGGUUACCCCCUUCGGUGGCGCAGCUAACGCAUUAAGUACUCCGCCUGGGAAGUACGCUCGCAAGAGUGAAACUCAAAGGAAUUGACGGGGACCCGCACAAGUAGCGGAGCAUGUGGUUUAAUUCGAAGCAACGCGAAGAACCUUACCUAAGCUUGACAUCCUUUUGACCGAUGCCUAAUCGCAUCUUUCCCUUCGGGGACAGAAGUGACAGGUGGUGCAUGGUUGUCGUCAGCUCGUGUCGUGAGAUGUUGGGUUAAGUCCCGCAACGAGCGCAACCCUUGCCUUUAGUUGCCAGCAUUAAGUUGGGCACUCUAGAGGGACUGCCAGGGAUAACCUGGAGGAAGGUGGGGAUGACGUCAAAUCAUCAUGCCCCUUAUGCUUAGGGCUACACACGUGCUACAAUGGGUGGUACAGAGGGCAGCCAAGUCGUGAGGCGGAGCUAAUCCCUUAAAGCCAUUCUCAGUUCGGAUUGAAGGCUGAAACUCGCCUACAUGAAGCUGGAGUUACUAGUAAUCGCAGAUCAGAAUGCUGCGGUGAAUGCGUUCCCGGGUCUUGUACACACCGCCCGUCACACCACGGAAGUUGGGGGCGCCCGAAGCCACUUAGCUAACCCUUUUGGGAAGCGAGUGUCGAAGGUGAAAUCAAUAACUGGGGUGAAGUCGUAACAAGGUACCC